UACGAAGGGUGCAAACGUUGCUCGGAAUCAUUGGGCGUAAAGCGCACGUAGGCGGCUUCGCAAGUCGGAUGUGAAAUCCCUCGGCUCAACCGAGGACGUGCAUACGAAACUGCGAAGCUUGAGUACUGAAGAGGAUCGCGGAAUUCCCGGUGUAGAGGUGAAAUGCGCAGAUAUCAGGAGGAACACCGGUGGCGAAGGCGGUGGUCUGGGCCGGCACUGACGCUGAGGAGCGAAAGCGUGGGGAGCGAACAGG
This 253-nucleotide ribosomal RNA is filed under the name uncultured bacterium. RNAcentral describes it as "partial 16S ribosomal RNA". It matches the Rfam family "Bacterial small subunit ribosomal RNA", at positions 524 to 776 of the family's 1533-position model. The record is from RNAcentral.